Pedobacter steynii is the source of this 110-nucleotide regulatory RNA element. It matches the Rfam family "SAM riboswitch aptamer (S box leader)". Rfam says of the family: The SAM riboswitch is found upstream of a number of genes which code for proteins involved in methionine or cysteine biosynthesis in Gram-positive bacteria. Lineage: Bacteria; Pseudomonadati; Bacteroidota; Sphingobacteriia; Sphingobacteriales; Sphingobacteriaceae. The record is from Rfam.
AGCUUAUAGAGAAAGACGGAGGGAUUAGACCCUGCGAAGUCUUAGCAACCUGUGCUUACAAGGUGCUACAUUCUACUGGAACCGGACCAUUGGUUCCCGAAAGAUAAGUU